Molecule: ribosomal RNA, 469 nt
Filed under: Acinetobacter sp. enrichment culture clone D_8m3_OTU8
Lineage: Bacteria; Pseudomonadati; Pseudomonadota; Gammaproteobacteria; Moraxellales; Moraxellaceae
Description: bacterial SSU rRNA
Rfam family: Bacterial small subunit ribosomal RNA
Source: RNAcentral
GAGCGGGGAAGGGUAGCUUGCUACCUGACCUAGCGGCGGACGGGUGAGUAAUGCUUAGGAAUCUGCCUAUUAGUGGGGGACAACAUUCCGAAAGGAAUGCUAAUACCGCAUACGCCCUACGGGGGAAAGCAGGGGAUCUUCGGACCUUGUGCUAAUAGAUGAGCCUAAGUCAGAUUAGCUAGUUGGUGGGGUAAAGGCCUACCAAGGCGACGAUCUGUAGCGGGUCUGAGAGGAUGAUCCGCCACACUGGGACUGAGACACGGCCCAGACUCCUACGGGAGGCAGCAGUGGGGAAUAUUGGACAAUGGGCGCAAGCCUGAUCCAGCCAUGCCGCGUGUGUGAAGAAGGCCUUUUGGUUGUAAAGCACUUUAAGCGAGGAGGAGGCUACUUGGAUUAAUACUCUAGGAUAGUGGACGUUACUCGCAGAAUAAGCACCGGCUAACUCUGUGCCAGCCGCCGCGGUAAUACA